GACGAACGCUGGCGGCGUGCCUAAUACAUGCAAGUCGAGCGAACGGCGAAGAAGCUUGCUUCUUCAAUGUUAGCGGCGGACGGGUGAGUAACACGUGGGCAAUCUGCCCGUAAGACUGGGAUAACUCCGGGAAACCGGGGCUAAUACCGGAUAACGCUUUUCAUCUCCUGGUGGAAAGUUGAAAGAUGGUUUCGGCUAUCACUUACGGAUGAGCCGGCGGCGCAUUAGCUAGUUGGUGAGGUAACGGCUCACCAAGGCGACGAUGCGUAGCCGACCUGAGAGGGGAAGCGGCCACACUGGGACUGAGACACGGCCCAGACUCGGACGGGAGGCAGCAGUAGGGAAUCUUCCGCAAUGGACGAAAGUCUGACGGAGCAACGCCGCGUGAGUGAAGAAGGUUUUCGGAUCGUAAAACUCUGUUGUUAGGGAAGAACACGUACGAGAGUAACUGCUCGUACCUUGACGGUACCUAACCAGAAAGCCACGGCUAACUACGUGCCAGCCGCCGCCGUAC
Molecule: ribosomal RNA, 514 nt
Filed under: uncultured bacterium
Lineage: Bacteria
Description: partial 16S ribosomal RNA
Rfam family: Bacterial small subunit ribosomal RNA
Source: RNAcentral